RNAcentral lists this ribosomal RNA (579 nucleotides) under Triticum aestivum (bread wheat). RNAcentral describes it as "partial small subunit ribosomal RNA". Lineage: Eukaryota; Viridiplantae; Streptophyta; Magnoliopsida; Poales; Poaceae. The record is from RNAcentral.
AUGGAGGUCGAGCAGAUCCUCUCCUUCGCCACAAACUAUGUGAACAACAACGCCGAUCUGGCCUGCCACGUCCUCGCGCAGAACGGGGUACCAGCCGACGCGGUCCUCUCGGCGGCCAUGAAAAGAGGGCUGAAGGCCAGAGAGGAGGUCUACGCCACCCUGCUGGAGCAGCUACUCGCCUCCUUCGCUAAUCCAUUGGAGGACACCCAGCUGAGGGAGUGGGAGUGCCCCCCCAAACCCCAAUAUUCUCUCACCGAGAAGAGGAGCGGUCCAAGACAGGACCCCAAAUGCCCCUUCUUUCUCAUCAAUGUGAAGGUGUCGGCCAAGACGGCGCAGAUAUCGUGGUCGAUGAAGAAGUAUCCCCGCUUCCCCCGGGAGCGAGCGAUGCACGAUGCUUUACGCGUGAACUCGGGGAUUUCAUGUAGAGCAGGCAGGGGAAGGCGGGCAGCCGGGCGCCCUCUCCUACUUCAUCGACGCCACAUACAGUGGGUGGCCGCGGCCCAAAGAGGGCAUCUUCGAGGAAGGCUCUUCUGUGCCUUUCAGGGAGGUCGCCGUCAUCAAGAGGUUGCCUGGUGGUGA